AGGGAUUUAGUUUAUUAAAAUACAGCUCUGAAGAGGCUGAGUCCUAUUCCCUU
This 53-nucleotide transfer RNA is filed under the name Longidorus vineacola. RNAcentral describes it as "tRNA-Phe". Lineage: Eukaryota; Metazoa; Nematoda; Enoplea; Dorylaimida; Longidoridae. The record is from RNAcentral.